Molecule: unclassified non-coding RNA, 307 nt
Filed under: plant metagenome
Description: partial contains 5.8S ribosomal RNA, internal transcribed spacer 2, and large subunit ribosomal RNA
Rfam family: 5.8S ribosomal RNA (bases 1-105)
Source: RNAcentral
GAAAUGCGAUAAGUAGUGUGAAUUGCAGAAUUCAGUGAAUCAUCGAAUCUUUGAACGCACAUUGCGCCCUUUGGUAUUCCAAAGGGCAUGCCUGUUCGAGCGUCAUUUGUACCCUCAAGCUUUGCUAGGUGUUGGGCGUCUUGUCUCUAGCUUUGCUGGAGACUCGCCUUAAAGUAAUUGGCAGCCGGCCUACUGGUUUCGGAGCGCAGCACAAGUCGCACUCUCUAUCAGCAAAGGUCUAGCAUCCAUUAAGCCUUUUUUCAACUUUUGACCUCGGAUCAGGUAGGGAUACCCGCUGAACUUAAGC